This 97-nucleotide transfer RNA is filed under the name Micromonospora fulviviridis. RNAcentral's name for it is "tRNA-Val". Lineage: Bacteria; Bacillati; Actinomycetota; Actinomycetes; Micromonosporales; Micromonosporaceae. The record is from RNAcentral. RNAcentral also lists the same sequence under 1 other name.
GGAUGUCGUAGGUCAGGACGACGUGCACCUCGGUGCUCACACCGUCCGGGGCGGGCACGAACCGAACCGUACCGGCGUUCGGCACGUCGGCGUUCCC